GCUACGCCCGCCCACCACUCCAAUAUAAGAUGCAGCCAGGUGUCAGUCAUCCACCGGCUGCUUCCUUCACCUUCAUCUGUGAAUAAAAACCCUGAAGCAACAGUAUCAAGACGUGCAGGAUGAUCCUGACUGCGGGUAUCUGUUUGAUCGUCACCAGUUUGGCCACCAUCACGACUGCAAGUUCUGGAGUGGUUGAUGGCAAUUACUGUGCUAGAAACAGUGAUGGGUAUUACGCCAACCCAAACGAUGCCACUUGUUACUACAUGUGUUCCUGUGGAGGAACCUUCAACCGAUGCUGCCUGACAGGUUACAUCUUCCAAGAAAGCUCCAGCAAGUGUGUACCAAACCCAAACACAACCCCUGCUCCCACAGCUACAACUACUAGAUCUACAACUACACCGACCACAACUACUACAACUACUCGGUCUACCACAAGCAUUACAACUACUUCAAUCCCUGGUUUCUGCCAGGGGAUGAGUGAUGGAUAUUACGGCAACCCAAACAAUGACACUUGUUACUACAUGUGUUCCUGUGGAGGAACCUUCAACCGAUGCUGCCUGACAGGUUACAACUAUAAAGCUAGUUCCAGCAGCUGUGGGUGACUGUGAAGCAUUUCACAUAGCUUCAUCAAUAACAUAAUAUGUUAAAGUUUCCUAAAUUUAAUUUUUACUCAUAAUGAUUCUCCAUUGUGCUUGAAAAAAGGCUAAAUAACUGCUAUUUUGCGCUUCUAAAUUCCUUCUUUACAAUGAAAAAUCUAUUUACACAGCCAGUCUCUCCAUCAUUGCAACUUGUAUUGACAGUGAAUUGUUUUGUUUGAAUUUGUUUUCAGACAUCCAGCAUGUUGAACAUAAUAAAGGAUUAUUGCAUGAAAUUGUAUUUUGCUUG
This 885-nucleotide long non-coding RNA is filed under the name Betta splendens (Siamese fighting fish). RNAcentral's name for it is "lncRNA (ENSBSLG00000009633.1)". Lineage: Eukaryota; Metazoa; Chordata; Actinopteri; Anabantiformes; Osphronemidae. The record is from RNAcentral.